This 325-nucleotide ribosomal RNA is filed under the name uncultured bacterium. Its description in RNAcentral is "bacterial SSU rRNA". It matches the Rfam family "Bacterial small subunit ribosomal RNA", at positions 438 to 754 of the family's 1533-position model. The record is from RNAcentral.
AAGAGGGAAGAAGUGCAUGGUGGUUAAUAUCUGUCAUGUUUGACGGUACCUCUAAAGGAAGCACCGGCUAACUCCGUGCCAGCAGCCGCGGUAAUACGGAGGGUGCAAGCGUUGUUCGGAAUCACUGGGCGUAAAGGGCGCGCAGGCGGCCUGAUCAGUCAGAUGUGAAAGCCCACGGCUUAACUGUGGAAGUGCAUUUGAAACUGUCAGGCUUGAGUACCAGAGGGGAAAGUGGAAUUCCCGGUGUAGAGGUGAAAUUCGUAGAUAUCGGGAGGAAUACCGGUGGCGAAGGCGACUUUCUGGCUGGAUACUGACGCUGAGGCGC